GACGAACCGUCCAAACGUUAUUCGGAAUCACUGGGCUUACAGAGUUCGUAGGCGGUCUGGAAAGUUGGGUGUGAAAUCCCUCGGCCUAACCGAGGAACUGCGCUUGAAACUACCAGACUCGAGGGAGAUAGAGGAAAGCGGAACUGAUGGUGGAGCGGUGAAAUGCGUUGAUAUCAGCAGGAACACCGGUGGCGAAGGCGGCUUUCUGGGUCUUACCUGACGCUGAGGAACGAAAGCCAGGGGAGCGAACGGG
Molecule: ribosomal RNA, 253 nt
Filed under: uncultured bacterium
Lineage: Bacteria
Description: partial 16S ribosomal RNA
Rfam family: Bacterial small subunit ribosomal RNA
Source: RNAcentral